ACUCAAAUGAAUAGACGGGGGCUCACACAAGCGGUGGAGUAUGUGGCUUAAUUCGAGGCUACGCGCAGAACCUUAUCCCAGGCUUGACAUGCACGGAUUAGCCGGCGGAAACGUCGGUGAGGCCGCAAGGUACAACGUGCACAGGUGCUGCAUGGCUGUCGUCAGCUCGUGCCGUGAGGUGUUGGGUUAAGUCCCCUAACGAGCGCAACCCCUGUGUCUAGUUGCCAGCGGGUAAAGCCGGGAACUCUAGACAGACCGCCGGCGUUAAGCCGGAGGAAGGCGGGGAUGACGUCAAGUCCUCAUGGCCCUUAUGCCUGGGGCUGCACACGUACUACAAUGGGGCGGACAGAGCGAUGCCAAACCGCAAGGUCGAGCCAAUCGCACAAACCGUCCCUCAGUUCGGAUUGCGGGCUGCAACCCGCCCGCAUGAAGCUGGAAUCGCUAGUAAUCGCGGAUCAGCAUGCCGCGGUGAAUGUGUUCCUGAGCCUUGCACACACCGCCCGU
Molecule: ribosomal RNA, 504 nt
Filed under: uncultured bacterium
Lineage: Bacteria
Description: partial 16S ribosomal RNA
Rfam family: Bacterial small subunit ribosomal RNA
Source: RNAcentral